RNAcentral lists this ribosomal RNA (461 nucleotides) under uncultured bacterium. Its description in RNAcentral is "partial 16S ribosomal RNA". It matches the Rfam family "Bacterial small subunit ribosomal RNA", at positions 30 to 523 of the family's 1533-position model. The record is from RNAcentral.
AUUGAACGCUGGCGGCAGGCUUAACACAUGCAAGUCGAGCGGGGUGAUGGUGCUUGCACUAUCACUUAGCGGCAGACGGGUGAGUAACGCGUGGGAACGCGCCCUUUGGUUCGGAACAACACAGGGAAACUUGUGCUAAUACCGAAUAAGCCCUUACGGGGAAAGAUUUAUCGCCGAAGGAUCGGCCCGCGUCUGAUUAGCUUGUUGGUGAGGUAACGGCUCACCAAGGCUACGAUCAGUAGCUGGUCUGAGAGGAUGAUCAGCCACACUGGGACCGAGACACGGCCCAGACUCCUACGGGAGGCAGCAGUGGGGAAUAUUGGACAAUGGGGGCAACCCUGAUCCAGCCAUGCCGCGUGAGUGAUGAAGGCCCUAGGGUUGUAAAGCUCUUUCGGCGGGGAAGAUAAUGACGGUACCCGCAUAAGAAGCCCCGGCUAACUUCGUGCCAGCCGCCGCCGUAA